Molecule: long non-coding RNA, 4503 nt
Organism: Nothobranchius furzeri (turquoise killifish)
Lineage: Eukaryota; Metazoa; Chordata; Actinopteri; Cyprinodontiformes; Nothobranchiidae
Source: RefSeq, a predicted model, not a curated record
CUAUUUGGCACUUGGCCAAGUGCCAGCGAGCGGUGAGUGUCUGCAUGCGCUUUUUAAAGUUUUCUUUAUUUUAAGAACAGAAAUACAUCUUGGCCUUCAAGCUGCAAUGGCAAAUUUGCAAACAAGCUAGGCUUUCAAUGUAAACACGAUUAUGGACCACUCACGCCUUUCCUUCAGUACCUGCCCUGAAACGCUUCUGCUGGAACCGGAAACCCACACUGCCAGAGGAAACAAGGACACUCAGCAAAAUAUGGACUCUACACCAUGAGGCAGGCACACGUUAAUACUCUAUAAGAGCACAUAAGGCUGGCUGAUCACCUGAUAACUCAUGUCAUCUGGUUGUGACAGCAUGAGAAUGUCCUCACACACCUGUAACCUAUCAACUCAUCUGGCAGAAUAGAGAGAGAAGAGACAACACCACAUCUCCUGUUCCUGGAAAGCCUUCAGCCAUCCUUCGAUGACUGAGAACCUCCAUCAGCUCUGUCUCCUGUCUGCCUACAAUUAUUAUAAUAAAUAUUGUGUUUGACAAGUUUUUUGUGCUGCCAAAUAUCUCAUUUUGAUUCCAGUUUUGAUAUUUUAAUGGAUAUUUAUAAAUUACAUUAGUUUAAUUAUCACAUUGUUGCAUGUUUAACUAGCUCUAUUGUGAUGAAUUAAACUAGCACCUCACUGUUGAAAGCUCAUUUUAAUUUCAAGCAUGUUUAAGUAUUUAUGGACAUGAACAAAAACAGGAAAUAUAUAAAUUGAGAUUUAUUUAAAUAAUAUAGCAAAUAAGGGGGAAAGAGUCAUUGAAAGGCACAUUCUUCUGAAAGCUCCUGAUCCUGACGACACCAGCAGAGGAGACCAGCAGCAGACACCAGAGGAUCACAUACGACCAAGAGAGCAGCUGGUAUCAGUAAAUAAAUAAUGAAAUCAGGGCAGUUCUAGUGGGCUGAACACAUUACAGAAUAAUUUUCUCAUGGGAUAUUUUCAUAACUUUAUGCAGCAGAUUGUAACUUGAGCCCAGGGCUCCUGGAGAGCUGCUAUCCAGCACGUUUCAGUGGUUUUCCUGCUUUAACAGGUUAGAUUAGCUGUUAAGCAGCUCAGCUAUUUGUUGCUGACUAAAACCAGGUGUGUUGAAGCAGAUAAAUCUCUAAAACAUGCUGAAUACUGGCUCUAUAGGGCCGUGGAGCCAAACCCUGCAGCUAAUCUAAUGCUAUGGCUAACGGCUACUUACCAUUCAGAGCUGGUUCUGUUGGGUCGGUUCCGCUAGUUUCAGGCAACUCACAAGCUCAAAACAAUAAGGCUCAGGUCCGCUUGUCUCCUCCAAAUAGACUUGGUCCCUUUCUUCUCGAGUGUCUGGGUAAGGAGGGGGAGAAACCUCCACUUCUAAUGACUGCUCAGAGUGAAAGGAGCUAGCAUCGUCUCGUUACCCAUCGUCUUCGUCACUGCCACGGCUCCGCCCUCUCGGUCCACCAGGCAACUCCUACUAAUGUUGCAGUUUUUAAAAUUGAUACUUGGGUGGAGAAGGACUCUGAGGCACACUUGACCCGCUCUUUAAGUAGCAACUUCAAACGGAGGAGGGAUGGUGCCAGCCUCACUGAAAGAGGAAGAGCAUUCCAGAGUGUCGGAGCAGCAUAGACAAAGCACGCUGCCCCCGCGUUUUGUAUUUCAUUGCUGGAACGCGAAGCAGCAGGCAAUAAGCAGAUCUCAACGCCCGGUUUGGCACAUAACUGUCAUGUUCACGAGCCAAGGUGAGUAAUUCUCUUCCACUAACCAUCUCCGGGUCAAUUUCCCACAGGUGAGAAGCGGAGGGGGCAGCAGCUGCACUGAAUCUCCAAUCAGGAAGUCGGGUAUAAAAAGAGGAUGGAGACACCACUCUACGCCGGAUGAUUGCUCAAUUUUAGGUAGCCCCAGCCACUCGUGUUUGUUUGCUCGCUUGACUCGUUUUUUUGGAUUAUUGGAUUUAGAACUUCAGACUGUCUUGGAUUACGUUUUUGGAUUAUCCUUUAAAACUCCUGUUUGUUUGCUGUACUCAGGACAACUCCACCUGGUUAUUUCAGUCAAAAUUGCUCUUCUGUAAGCUUGAGUUAGUUGGCCAUUCUCCUCUUACCUCUAGCAUCAACAAGAUUCUUAAAUUGCUUAAAUCACCUUUCAUUCCCAUUCUGACAUACAGUUUGGCAUUCAGGAGAUUGUCUUGACCAGGACCACACCCCUAAAUGCAUUGAAGCAACUGUCAUGUGGUAGAUUAGAUAAUUGCAUUAAGGAGAAGUUGAACAGGUGUUCCUAAUAAUCCUUUAGGUGAGUGUAUUCAUUGAUCCUAAAUCAAUCCAAAUAAAUUCUUCACAAUAAAAUGCUUAAUGUCUAGGUGUCUUAUUUGUGAGUGAUAUCUAAAGUGGAUUAGGAGUUUGACUGACCAGCUGUGACCAGAAGAAGAUGUGCCUGGAAUGUUCUUCCUCUGUCCAGGGGCAUUGAUUAGCUUUAGCGAUGAGGACUUCUUUCAUUCUUUCUUCUCACCAAAAUAAGUCAGCCAAUUUGGUUUUGGCUUCUGAUUAACUCAAUCGCUGCCAGCGUUUCGCACCGUUUUUACUGUUUUUUUAAGAGUCACAGAACGUUGCGCGCUAGGAUGAUGUCGACACCAAAACAACCAAAACAAAGCGGAGACUCACCUCUUACAUCAGGAAGAAUCUACGCAUUUCGAGCGUUACCCGUUCUUUCAUAAUCCAUUGUUGAAUUGUGAUCGGCAGAAGCUUUUCCGGUUCAUGCCUCACUUUUUUUUUACAGCAGAGGCCCAAAACGAUCUCCUAACACAUGGAUGUUCUGCUUCCUGAUCACGUGACAUGUGACGUAUGUGGAUGAAGAUCGACUUUAAAGCUGAGAUGUUUGUUCUCACGGUGCGGUGUCCGCACGGUGCGUUCUGAUGCCCACAUAGUAAAAAAAAUUGGCAGUGAAUGGAUGGAUUUCAAAUGACGACUCAUGCACGUCAAUGGCAGUGCAUGAGUCAAGAGGUCAUAUGGUUGGUAUCCCACCAGGAGUAGAAGUCGGGCAGAACUUACUGGAGGGAUUAUAUAUCAUCUCUGGUCUGGGAAUGCUUUACAACCCCCCACUUGGACUCUAAAGCCACAUGUGACUCUUCAUCCCCUCUGAAGGCCCUCUUUGGUAACUUUCACCAUGACUGUCGCCAACCACCAACACCGUUUCCUGUAAUUAUAAUACUUAAUUUAGCUAAAACCGUCGAUAAUUUUGAAUUAAAAACUGUAACCAGCUCUACUGUUCAGCUGUUUAGGAAGUAGCUCUGCCUAGUUCUAAGCACAAAAGUGUAAAUUUUGUUUUAAAACACAUGUCAUUUGUGUACUUCAAAGAAUGUCAGUGCCAUAAAAUAUUUUCUACACGCAUGUUUGAAGAGAAAAAUGACACUUCUUUAAAAACAGGUAUCUGUAUUAUAGGGUUAAGUCGAUUUUGUGGCCCUACACUAAUCAUACUGGGUGGUAGUGACAAUGAAAAAGGCUUUAUUUGUAUUGUAAAGGUUGCAGACCUCAUUAUUUGGAGUUAUGUGGAUGUACCUUCUGGACCUGGUACAUCCACCAGUGGAUGAACGGAUGAAUGGAUAAUGGAUGCAUGGAUAAAAAACCCAAACAUUGUGUGUUUUCAAUCAGUAACUACGCUACAUUACCUAUUCUGCAUUUAUUGGCUUUCCCUCACAAGUGCGUCCCUCAAUUAUUUUCCAAGUCAUAGUAAAAGAGAUAUUUUUCUCAGUAAUUUUGCUUGCACAGUGUUAGAGUCCAAUCUUUUUAAUGCUUUAGGACAAAGGCUUGAAGCUUGGUGGAAUCUGAAAAACAGGCAUGCCAGCACACCACUAUUAGUCUUCACUCUCUACAUAAUCGCUGUCUUUACCUACUUCGUUCUUUGAUUUCUUGUUUUUAUUUUUUUACUCACCAGCUCUUUCAAAUGAAGUAAUCUGCUGAGUUUGUCUUAAAAAGAACUUGAGCUUCAAGAUUUAGUUUGUGUCUCAGUGUGUUUAUGUAACAUUUGAGAUGAAUAAUUACGUUGUACGGCUCCAGAUUUCUGCAUGAUUGGUUUAAAAAGUUAGGAUUUUGUCAGCUGAGAAAAAGUUGCUCUGAGAAAGACAGUUUGUCAGUACUAGUGACUGUAGAUAUAAUAGACACACCAUCUGCACCGUCACCCGUAGGUUCCCACCACCGCCAUCUUGGCUGUUCUCUCAUCAUUCCCAGAAAAUACAAAAACUGACCGGAGAAUGGGGAUGUGAGGCUGGGGGCAGAUGAUUGACAGCCACAAACUCUGAGUCAAUAUAGCUACGAGCUAACUGAGCUAACCAAAGCUAACAGAGGUUAGCAUGCUUUUAGCCAGAAAACUGUGUUGAAGUGAGUCUGCUAUCCUCGGCCUUCUCGGGAGCAAACAGGGCGGCAAGCUGCUAGUGCUGGCUUUGAUGGCUUAUCUUCUACAUGUCAAUCAAAAGCACACUCCCCUGAUUUUUUAUGUUUCCAAGCUUUAGUGACCUCUAAACAC